This 200-nucleotide ribosomal RNA is filed under the name uncultured bacterium. RNAcentral describes it as "partial 16S ribosomal RNA". It matches the Rfam family "Bacterial small subunit ribosomal RNA", at positions 8 to 228 of the family's 1533-position model. The record is from RNAcentral.
AGAGUUUGAUCAUGGCUCAGGAUAAACGCUGGCGGCGUGCCUAACACAUGCAAGUCGAACGUGCUCGGGCAACCGAGUGCGUGGCGGACGGGUGAGGAACACGUGGGUAUCUGCCUUGAGGUGAGGAAUACCAGCGAGAAAUCGCUGACAAUACCGCAUACGUUUCGGAAGAAACAAAGUCGUAAGACGCCACAAGAUGA